Molecule: ribosomal RNA, 459 nt
Filed under: uncultured bacterium
Lineage: Bacteria
Description: partial 16S ribosomal RNA
Rfam family: Bacterial small subunit ribosomal RNA
Source: RNAcentral
CCUACGGGUGGCUGCAGUGAGGAAUAUUGGUCAAUGGCCGCAGGGCUGAACCAGCCAAGUCGCGUGAGGGAUGACGGUCCUAUGGAUUGUAAACCUCUUUUGUCAGGGAGCAAGGUGCGCCACGUGUGGCGUUUUGCGAGUACCUGAAGAAAAAGCAUCGGCUAACUCCGUGCCAGCAGCCGCGGUAAUACGGAGGAUGCGAGCGUUAUCCGGAUUUAUUGGGUUGAAAGGGUGCGCAGGAGGCAUGUCAAGUCAUCGGGAAAAUUUCGGGGCUAAACCCAGUGGGGCCGUUUAAAAUGGCGGUCUUGAGUGAGCGAGAAGUAUGCGGAAUGCGGGGUGUAGCGGUGAAAUGCAUAGAUAUCACGCAGAACUCCGAUUGCGAAGGCAGCAUACCGGCGCUCAACUGACGCUCAUGCACGAAAGCGUGGGUAUCGAACAGGAUUAGAUACCCUAGUAGUC